AUUGAACGCUGGCGGCAGGCCUAACACAUGCAAGUCGAACGGUAACAGGAAACAGCUUGCUGUUUCGCUGACGAGUGGCGGACGGGUGAGUAAUGUCUGGGAAACUGCCUGAUGGAGGGGGAUAACUACUGGAAACGGUAGCUAAUACCGCAUAACGUCGCAAGACCAAAGAGGGGGACCUUCGGGCCUCUUGCCAUCGGAUGUGCCCAGAUGGGAUUAGCUAGUAGGUGGGGUAACGGCUCACCUAGGCGACGAUCCCUAGCUGGUCUGAGAGGAUGACCAGCCACACUGGAACUGAGACACGGUCCAGACUCCUACGGGAGGCAGCAGUGGGGAAUAUUGCACAAAGGGCGCAAGCCUGAUGCAGCCACGCCGCGUGUAUGAAGAAGGCCUUCGGGUUGUAAAGUACUUUCAGCGGGGAUGAAGGGAGUAAAGUUAAUACCUUUGCUCAUUGACGUUACCCGCAGAAGAAGCACCGGCUAACUCCGUG
This 490-nucleotide ribosomal RNA is filed under the name uncultured bacterium. Its description in RNAcentral is "partial 16S ribosomal RNA". It matches the Rfam family "Bacterial small subunit ribosomal RNA", at positions 30 to 507 of the family's 1533-position model. The record is from RNAcentral.